This 1206-nucleotide ribosomal RNA is filed under the name metagenome. Its description in RNAcentral is "SSU rRNA". It matches the Rfam family "Eukaryotic small subunit ribosomal RNA", at positions 3 to 1209 of the family's 1831-position model. The record is from RNAcentral.
CCUGGUUGAUCCUGCCAGUAGUCAUAUGCUUGUCUCAAAGAUUAAGCCAUGCAUGUCUAAGUUCAAGCAAAAAUAAUGUGAAACCGCGAAUGGCUCAUUAUAUCAGUUAUGGUUCCUUAGAUCGCACUUACUACUUGGAUAACUGUGGUAAUUCUAGAGCUAAUACAUGCGUUGGACUCCGAACUUUACGGUGAGGAGUGCUUUUAUUAGAUCAAAGCCAAUCGGGUCUUCGGAUUCGUUUAGUUGGUGACUCUGAAUAACUUUGCUGAUCGCACGGUCUUGCACCGGCGACGUAUCUUUCAAGUGUCUGCCUUAUCAACUGUCGAUGGUAGGUUAUGCGCCUACCAUGGUUGUAACGGGUAACGGGGAAUCAGGGUUCGAUUCCGGAGAGGGAGCCUGAGAAACGGCUACCACAUCCAAGGAAGGCAGCAGGCGCGCAAAUUACCCACUCCCGGCACGGGGAGGUAGUGACGAAAAAUAACGAUACGGAACUCAUACGAGGCUCCGUAAUCGGAAUGAGUACACUUUAAAUCCUUUAACGAGGAUCUAUUGGAGGGCAAGUCUGGUGCCAGCAGCCGCGGUAAUUCCAGCUCCAAUAGCGUAUAUUAAAGUUGUUGUGGUUAAAAAGCUCGUAGUUGGAUCUCGGUUUCGGGUGAAUGGUGCACCUUGCGGUGUUUACUAUUUAUUCGGACGAUUUUGUUGGUUCGUUCCUGGUUCUCUUAAUCGAGUGCCUUGAGUGGCCAACACGUUUACUUUGAAAAAAUUGGAGUGCUCAAAGCAGGCGCUACAGCCUGAACAUUAGUGCAUGGAAUAAUGGAAUAGGAUCUCGGUUCUAUUUCGUUGGCUUUCGGAGUCGAGGUAAUGAUUAAUAGGGACAGACGGGGGCAUUCGUACUGCGACGUUAGAGGUGAAAUUCUUGGAUCGUCGCAAGACGAACUACUGCGAAAGCAUUUGCCAAGAAUGUUUUCAUUAAUCAAGAACGAAAGUUAGAGGUUCGAAGGCGAUCAGAUACCGCCCUAGUUCUAACCAUAAACGAUGUCGACCGGCAAUCUGCUCUCGUUAAAUUAAUGACUGAGCAGGCGGCCUGCUGGAAACAAGAGUAUUUGGAUUCCAGGGGGAGUAUGGUUGCAAAGCUGAAACUUAAAAGAAUUGACGGAAGGGCACCACCAGGAGUGGAGCCUGCGGCUUAAUUUGACCCAACACGGG